GGCCGUGUGGCGCAAUGGAUAACGCGUCUGCCUACGGAACAUAAUACUACAGUUUCGAAUCCUGCCGUGGUCG
Molecule: non-coding RNA, 73 nt
Organism: Angiostrongylus costaricensis
Lineage: Eukaryota; Metazoa; Nematoda; Chromadorea; Rhabditida; Metastrongylidae
Source: Rfam